UACGAAGGGGGCCAGCGUUGCUCGGAAUCACUGGGCGUAAAGGGUGCGUAGGCGGGUCUUUAAGUCAGGGGUGAAAUCCUGGAGCUCAACUCCAGAACUGCCUUUGAUACUGAGGAUCUUGAGUUCGGGAGAGGUGAGUGGAACUGCGAGUGUAGAGGUGAAAUUCGUAGAUAUUCGCAAGAACACCAGUGGCGAAGGCGGCUCACUGGCCCGUAACUGACGCUGAGGCACGAAAGCGUGGGGAGCAAACAGG
RNAcentral lists this ribosomal RNA (253 nucleotides) under uncultured bacterium. RNAcentral's name for it is "partial 16S ribosomal RNA". It matches the Rfam family "Bacterial small subunit ribosomal RNA", at positions 524 to 776 of the family's 1533-position model. The record is from RNAcentral.